RNAcentral lists this ribosomal RNA (253 nucleotides) under uncultured bacterium. Its description in RNAcentral is "partial 16S ribosomal RNA". It matches the Rfam family "Bacterial small subunit ribosomal RNA", at positions 524 to 776 of the family's 1533-position model. The record is from RNAcentral.
UACGUAGGGGGCAAGCGUUAUCCGGAUUUACUGGGUGUAAAGGGAGCGUAGACGGCAUGGCAAGUCAGAUGUGAAAGCCCGGGGCUCAACCCCGGGACUGCAUUUGAAACUGUCAGGCUGGAGUGCAGGAGAGGUAAGUGGAAUUCCUAGUGUAGCGGUGAAAUGCGUAGAUAUUAGGAGGAGCACCAGUGGCGAAGGCGGCUUACUGGACUGUAACUGACGUUGAGGCUCGAAAGCGUGGGGAGCAAACAGG